RNAcentral lists this ribosomal RNA (1060 nucleotides) under Limosilactobacillus fermentum. RNAcentral describes it as "bacterial SSU rRNA". It matches the Rfam family "Bacterial small subunit ribosomal RNA", at positions 49 to 1067 of the family's 1533-position model. The record is from RNAcentral. Lineage: Bacteria; Bacillati; Bacillota; Bacilli; Lactobacillales; Lactobacillaceae.
CUAUACAUGCAGUCGAACGCGUUGGCCCAAUUGAUUGAUGGUGCUUGCACCUGAUUGAUUUUGGUCGCCAACGAGUGGCGGACGGGUGAGUAACACGUAGGUAACCUGCCCAGAAGCGGGGGACAACAUUUGGAAACAGAUGCUAAUACCGCAUAACAACGUUGUUCGCAUGAACAACGCUUAAAAGAUGGCUUCUCGCUAUCACUUCUGGAUGGACCUGCGGUGCAUUAGCUUGUUGGUGGGGUAAUGGCCUACCAAGGCGAUGAUGCAUAGCCGAGUUGAGAGACUGAUCGGCCACAAUGGGACUGAGACACGGCCCAUACUCCUACGGGAGGCAGCAGUAGGGAAUCUUCCACAAUGGGCGCAAGCCUGAUGGAGCAACACCGCGUGAGUGAAGAAGGGUUUCGGCUCGUAAAGCUCUGUUGUUAAAGAAGAACACGUAUGAGAGUAACUGUUCAUACGUUGACGGUAUUUAACCAGAAAGUCACGGCUAACUACGUGCCAGCAGCCGCGGUAAUACGUAGGUGGCAAGCGUUAUCCGGAUUUAUUGGGCGUAAAGAGAGUGCAGGCGGUUUUCUAAGUCUGAUGUGAAAGCCUUCGGCUUAACCGGAGAAGUGCAUCGGAAACUGGAUAACUUGGUGCAGAAGAGGGUAGUGGAACUCCAUGUGUAGCGGUGGAAUGCGUAGAUAUAUGGAAGAACACCAGUGGCGAAGGCGGCUACCUGGUCUGCAACUGACGCUGAGACUCGAAAGCAUGGGUAGCGAACAGGAUUAGAUACCCUGGUAGUCCAUGCCGUAAACGAUGAGUGCUAGGUGUUGGAGGGUUUCCGCCCUUCAGUGCCGGAGCUAACGCAUUAAGCACUCCGCCUGGGGAGUACGACCGCAAGGUUGAAACUCAAAGGAAUUGACGGGGGCCCGCACAAGCGGUGGAGCAUGUGGUUUAAUUCGAAGCUACGCGAAGAACCUUACCAGGUCUUGACAUCUUGCGCCACCCUAGAGAUAGGGCGUUUCCUUCGGGAACGCAAUGACAGGUGGUGCAUGGUCGUCGUCAGCUCGUGUCG